Long non-coding RNA from Astatotilapia calliptera (eastern happy), 2738 nucleotides. The record is from Ensembl. NCBI's taxonomy places the organism in Eukaryota, Metazoa, Chordata, Actinopteri, Cichliformes, Cichlidae.
CAAACAUCAAACUGCCUUGAACCUAUUUGGGUUGAACAAUAACAUAUAAAUGGCAAUCCAUGUGGGGUAUCCAGAGAGGCAAUUCUGGUGCAGAGAUCAUCAGUAUACACACAAACUGCACCACUAAUUCACUCAGAGAUGGAGAAAGAUGGAGAAAAGACAGGAUGGGAGAAGAAGAAAGAAAUUAUUAUUAUAAGGUGAUAUUUAAAAGGCUGGGAAUUUAAAAUGUCCAUUUAAUGUCCUUAUUUAUUUUAGAGUUGUUGUUUUAUUAACAGAUAUACAUGAUUUGUUGCUCAGUUUAUGUCUCUUUUUUUCAUAUUAGUGUAGGGUAGUAGUUUACACAUUUUCCUAACAGCAAAAGAUCCCCAUUUGAUUCUGGGAGGAAACACCAAUCCCUUGGGGGUAGUGUCAGGAAGCAUCCUGCAUCUGCCAGAAAGAAAUCUGCCAAAUCAAGCAUGUAGAGCUACCCGCUGUGGUGACCCCUUGCCACAAAUUGAGGUGUACAAACUUUUUGUUACUCAGAGGUUGCGUGAAAGGCAGUUUAGUGCAGGUUACAGUGGUUAGUUGAAAUACUUUGUUCGUCUGUUGCAGAGUAGGCUGUGGUCUUCACGGUCAGUGUGAGGUUGAGAUGAGUAGCAGAUAUCACAUUAAAUUUAAGUUGAAUUACACUUUCGUAUUAGCUUUAUUCUAAUAUAAAGGUGUGUAUGAGAUGGAAAUCAGCCGUGAUAGCUCAUUGAGCUUUGGUUUAUAACUUGUUGAAGGCAGUUGGCUAAAUCCACGAGCAGCAGCCGCUGAUCACAGCCUGUAUACUAAAUCUACUGGACCACACAAUGGAAAUGGUUGCUAAGUGACUAUUUCCCCAUGCUGCACCCACACCUGCUGAAUCCCACUUUAACUCUCGACUAUACAAAUGUUUCUGUUUAGGUGCAGAAACAGUCACCUAUCUACAUUUGUUAGUUUGUAGUACUGUAGCUACUUUUUUAAAAUUCCCAUUACUUUUGUCUCCUUUGUCUAUAUCGCAGAAUUAGAAUAGAAUAGAAGCCAGAAUGAAGUUUGCAUUUCCUUGUUUUGUUUUAAUAACGAGCUUCAGCUUUUCCACUUUUACUUGAGUAAAAAAGUUGAAUCAGUACUUCAGCUUUUAUCAGAGUACCUUUUAACACAAGGAUCUGUACUUGUGACAAAUGUGUGCACCUUUGCCAUCUCUGCCUGCAAAAGGAUUCUGGAGCUCCCCGUUUAUGUUCCCAAAACUCUGAAUCAAAGAUAUGUUUUUCAGAUUUGGCUAGCUUAGUGUGGAGGUAUUCUCAAAGAUCAUGAAAUCCCCUCUCGGAUUGCUCAGUUUUUCUUCUGCUUUCCCCCCCACUGAAUAACAAUUGAUGAUUUUAUUUCAUAAUUUCAGAGUUAUAAUUAUUUUCACCCAGGGGGGCCUUGCUGAAGCCAUGGUCGGUGCAGUAAUUAUUCCCAAGGAGGGAGUAAUGGGACAUUUAGAGGACGACACUGCCAAAGAUUUCUGUAACGCUCCUUUGCACUUGUGGUUGGAUGCACAGUCACAUUUUAUCCAUUUAUAGAAAAGCAAUUAGGAGAUAAGCAAUGACAUAGAGUGAGAGAUGGAGUGAGAGAGAAUGACAAUGAGGGAGUGACUGAAGUAACAAAUGAGAUGCACUUGUUGUUGUGGAGAUGCUCUGCUUCCUCACAGGAAGAGUGCAAGCGUGGGGAGGAUGUACAGCAAACAUCCUGCAUGUGUCACUCUAGAGACUCACAUUAGGCUGCAGAUACCACAUGAAAUUAUGGAAACAAGAACAUUUUGAAAACAAAGAGACAGCAAAUAAAGACACAUGUAAGCGCCAUCAAGGGAGCUGUUGGACGAGACACAAACAGGGGAGCCGGAGUCUGGUAGUCCGGGCUUUUUAGAAGAAUGCCAACAGUGCAGCUCUGUGAGAAAUGGCUGUCAAAGAUGCCCGAUUCAUUCUGGACACAAACGGAGAAUAGAGAGCAUUGUGUUCAUGCUUUGAUUUUACAAAAUAUCCUUGUGUGUCAACCUUCAAUGAAUCAUCAUGAAAAAAAUAUUUGUUUUAAUCUCAUAUCUAUGUUUGUACUUGUAAAUAUGACACCAAUAUAUAUUAUGGGGCAAAAAAUAAGAGGCUGAAGUCUGAUUAAAUACUUGGACUGCCUGAAGAUCCUUUUUUGUUGUGACAAUAAAACUUCAAACAUUAGCUGAUCUCUAUUUUUAUGCUUUACCUGUUUUUUUUUUAAAGGCUUAUUAAAAAUGCACUUUUCAAGAAGAUUGGUCCUAAGAAAAAUCCACUAGAUAUAAAGCUAUUUUUCCUCAGAACUCCUCAAGAAGCUACAGUUCUUACAUUUGCUCUGAAGAGAAUCAUUCUGAGUAAAGUUUUAAUCCAUCUAAACAUAUCUCUCAUUUUAGCUCUGGUGUAGUCUACAUCAAUUUCUUUAUCUCUGUCUGGCUGUGAAGCUGCUAUAUGUCCCUUUUCUUUUCUUUUUUUCUUUUCUUUUUUGGAUUGUUUAUACCAGCUCAUCUUUAGAUAUCCUGCAGUAAAAAAAGUCUUAAUGAGAGCCAUUACUGUAUUACCAAAUACAGAAUUAUUAUUGCAUUGAGUUGCCAUAAUAAAAUAGAACUGAGUAUGGGGAGUUAUUGUUUUCUAAAAACGACAGUGACAAAAAUAUGACCGUUUUCAUAUGUCAUGUUUUCUUUAAUAAUAAAAAGCUUUAUGCUGAUACUAAAA